GACGGUUUGGCCGAGUGGUCUAAGGCACCAGAUUUAGGCUCUGGUCUGAAAGGGUGUGGGUUCAAAUCCCACAGCCGUCA
Ipomoea nil (Japanese morning glory) is the source of this 80-nucleotide transfer RNA. It matches the Rfam family "tRNA". Rfam says of the family: Transfer RNA (tRNA) molecules are approximately 80 nucleotides in length. The record is from Rfam. NCBI's taxonomy places the organism in Eukaryota, Viridiplantae, Streptophyta, Magnoliopsida, Solanales, Convolvulaceae.